GCAGCCGCGGUAAUACGUAGGGAGCGAGCGUUAUCCGGAUUUACUGGGUGUAAAGGGCGUGUAGGCGGGACAACAAGUCAGAUGUGAAAGCACGGGGCUCAACUCCGUGUCUGCAUUUGAAACUGUAGUUCUUGAGUGCUGGAGAGGCUAACGGAACUCCUAGUGUAGCGGUGAAAUGCGUAGAUAUUAGGAAGAACACCAGUGGCGAAGGCGGUUAGCUGGACAGUAACUGACGCUGAGGCGCGAAAGCGUGGGUAGCAAACAGGAUUAGAUACCCC
RNAcentral lists this ribosomal RNA (278 nucleotides) under uncultured Ruminiclostridium sp. Its description in RNAcentral is "partial 16S ribosomal RNA". It matches the Rfam family "Bacterial small subunit ribosomal RNA", at positions 511 to 788 of the family's 1533-position model. Lineage: Bacteria; Bacillati; Bacillota; Clostridia; Eubacteriales; Oscillospiraceae. The record is from RNAcentral.